CCUAGUAUGGCAUUUCUGGAACUUGCGGUCCAAUUCUGUGCAUUUUCGGGCAAUACUAUAUGAUACAGGCUGAUUCUCGAUGUGAUAUGAGUGGAAUACCAACUUCAUGUACACUUGGCUUAUUCAGCACCCAUAAAAUUCAAUGGACCACCAUCCGGACAAAAGGAUAAAAACAGAACACAUCAAGAUAAUGAAUUUUCUUCAAACUACUGAGGUACAAUGAAAAAUGGAAAUAUUAUCUCAGAAAUUACAACAGAGGGAUGAAGAUAUAGCAUAUGCUGUACCUAAAAGAUACAUCAAAUGGGACAUUGGGAAUAUGGAUUGAUGAAAUUUAAUUUGCGAUUGUCCUAUAAUGCCUUUUCAUUACAGUACCACACAAAUUGAGGCAAUAAAUGUAUAUUUGAUCAAAAAAG
RNAcentral lists this long non-coding RNA (413 nucleotides) under Homo sapiens (human). RNAcentral describes it as "HSALNT0286899". Lineage: Eukaryota; Metazoa; Chordata; Mammalia; Primates; Hominidae. The record is from RNAcentral.